Molecule: ribosomal RNA, 439 nt
Filed under: uncultured bacterium
Lineage: Bacteria
Description: bacterial SSU rRNA
Rfam family: Bacterial small subunit ribosomal RNA
Source: RNAcentral
GAUGAACGCUGGCGGCGUGCUUAACACAUGCAAGUCGAACGGGAUCGGCUGGAGCUUGCUCCGGCCGUGAGAGUGGCGAACGGGUGAGUAAUGCGUGACCGACCUGCCCCAUACACCGGAAUAGCUCCUGGAAACGGGUGGUAAUGCCGGAUGCUCCGACAUGACGCAUGUCGUGUUGGGAAAGAUUCAUCGGUAUGGGAUGGGGUCGCGUCCUAUCAGGUAGUCGGCGGGGUAACGGCCCACCGAGCCUACGACGGGUAGCCGGCCUGAGGGGGCGACCGGCCACAUUGGGACUGAGAUACGGCCCAGACUCCUACGGGAGGCAGCAGUGGGGAAUAUUGCACAAUGGGCGCAAGCCUGAUGCAGCGACGCCGCGUGCGGGAUGACGGCCUUCGGGUUGUAAACCGCUUUUGACUGGGAGCAAGCCCUUCGGGGUGAG